AUUCCUACGGGAGGCAGCAGUGAGGAAUAUUGGUCAAUGGGCGGAAGCCUGAACCAGCCAAGUCGCGUGAGGGAAGAAGGCCCUGCGGGUCGCAGACCUCUUUGGACGGGGAGCAAGGCCGCCGACGUGUCGGCGGAAGGAGAGUACCCGUAGAACAAGCAUCGGCUAACUCCGUGCCAGCAGCCGCGGUAAUACGUAGGGGGCGAGCGUUGUCCGGAAUCACUGGGCGUAAAGGGCGCGUAGGCGGUAAUAUAAGUCAGAUGUGAAAGGUGGGGGCUCAACCCCUAGAGUGCAACUGAGACUGG
RNAcentral lists this ribosomal RNA (305 nucleotides) under uncultured bacterium. RNAcentral describes it as "bacterial SSU rRNA". It matches the Rfam family "Bacterial small subunit ribosomal RNA", at positions 335 to 636 of the family's 1533-position model. The record is from RNAcentral.